CGAGGGUGCAAGCGUUAAUCGGAAUUACUGGGCGUAAAGCGAGUGUAGGCGGCUUCGUAAGUCGGAUGUGAAAGCCCUGGGCUUAACCUGGGAAUGGCAUUCGAUACUGCGCGGCUAGAGUCUGAUAGAGGGAAGUGGAAUUCCAGGUGUAGCGGUGAAAUGCGUAGAGAUCUGGAGGAACACCAGUGGCGAAGGCGGCUUCCUGGAUCAAGACUGACGCUGAGGCUCGAAAGCGUGGGGAGCAAACAGGAUUAGAUACCCGAGUAGUCC
Molecule: ribosomal RNA, 270 nt
Filed under: uncultured archaeon
Lineage: Archaea
Description: partial 16S ribosomal RNA
Rfam family: Bacterial small subunit ribosomal RNA
Source: RNAcentral